CCAGAGGAAAAACUGGUGAAAAACCAAGGGAGGAUUAGAAAAAGAAAAAAGGCUAAAACAGGCCAGAGAGAUUGCUGGCCUUCCUUCAGAACUCCAGCUUAGGGGAUUCCAAUUUCCCCUUUCCCCAGAGCACAGGCUCAACACACCAAACGCACCAGACGAAGAAAAAACUAGAGAAAAGGACGAGGGCAUAAUACAGAGACACAGCAGAGGAAACGAAGCAGACACAGGGGGAAGAAAACGAACACCAAAGGAAGAAAACAGAGGACUAAACCCAGCUUUGGUUUAGUCCCAGAAUUCAAGCAUAACACAGAAUAGAGACAGAGCAGAGGGAUCCAACACAGAAAGAAAGCAAAAACAAAAGAACGUAGAAGAAGGAGCAGAGGAGAG
This 390-nucleotide long non-coding RNA is filed under the name Populus trichocarpa (black cottonwood). RNAcentral's name for it is "long non-coding RNA (PTRI_LNC003483)". The record is from RNAcentral. Lineage: Eukaryota; Viridiplantae; Streptophyta; Magnoliopsida; Malpighiales; Salicaceae.